GUGGGCCAGGAGACUCAAGAGAAAAACCUGAGGCCCAAUCCCAGCUGCGUGAACUGGCUCGACAAGGCUGCGGGAUGCAGAGGCCAGAGCAGCCUCAACCCCCAACCCCUCAGUCUCCAGCAGAAGAAUAUGCGAACACUCCUCAGAACAAGUUCCAGCUCGAGUUCCUUCCUUCCUGCUUCCGUCAACUCCAUCCCUCCAAGCCUUGGCCUCCCCUCAGCACCUCAUCCAACUGGCAAACUUCCAAGGAGAGGCAGGACAGUGAGCAGGCACUCUGCCCAGACUGCCUGUGUUCAACCUCCAGAGCUUACCAGCUCUGCAACCUUGGGAAGAUGAGGUUAUGGGUGCUACGGAGCUCUGGUCCGCCAGUUCCUGCUGCAAGUCACCGCUGUUCACUCACCAAGAAACAAG
This 411-nucleotide long non-coding RNA is filed under the name Homo sapiens (human). Its description in RNAcentral is "HSALNT0334085". Lineage: Eukaryota; Metazoa; Chordata; Mammalia; Primates; Hominidae. The record is from RNAcentral.